RNAcentral lists this long non-coding RNA (834 nucleotides) under Pan troglodytes (chimpanzee). Its description in RNAcentral is "long non-coding RNA NONPTRT009523". Lineage: Eukaryota; Metazoa; Chordata; Mammalia; Primates; Hominidae. The record is from RNAcentral.
CCAAGCAUUCUGCCGUGAACCCAUUUGGUGCUCAAUAAAAUCAUUGCCCUUUUUUUGGUGUUUUGUUGGAGACAAAACGGAAACACCAAAUGGCUGGUGGAAGUGGUAGGAAAAAACGAGACCAAAAACCCAGUGGCUCUGAAGAGGGCUUCUCAUCCUCAGCACUGCUGACAUUUGCGCCAGAUAUUUCUUUGGUUUGGAGGCUGUCCUGUGCACUGUCGGAUGUUUACCAGCAUCGUCAGUCUCUACUCUCCAGGAGGGAGUCACUGAAGGUUGGAGGACUGAUAUGCACCAAUACCUUUCCCACAAACAAGAGAUGCCUGAGAAAGACCUGGUCAUGCAGGAGGUGGUGAGUGGCUACUGGAAGAAAUAUGGUGGCUGGGGGAGGGGCAAGGGAGAAGCCUGCCUGCGGUUGAGCAGGCUAGCUGGAGAGCCAAGGUCGGUGCCCACUAGUGACUCUCCCGAGGGGUGUUGCCUUGGUGGGCUUCCCCGCUCUGGCCUUUUGUCACCUUGUUUGCUGAAUCCAGGUAAAAUGUUUAACCAAAUUGGAAAGCAAUUCCGGGGAGUUGGAGUCAGAUCUGUCCCUGCCCUUGCUGUUGCUAAUGAGCUGUAUGACCUUAGUUGAGCCAUUUGAUCUCUCUGCAACUGUUUCUUGGGCUGUGAAACAUGGGGGUUGGAGUCUCUGAUUUCUAAGAUCCUUUUCAGCUGUAAGUUCUAAGGCCUGUGAAUACCACAGUGUGAUUAAGCCAACUGGGUGGUGGUGAGGGCCUUGUAAGUUUCAGUCUUACUGCAAGCCAGCGAUAGAAUUCUCCACAUGUCUUUGUUAAGAACUCU